AUUUGUGGUGUGCUUACUUGUUCUCUAUCUUAUUUUCUUUUUCUUCUUGCACUCUUGCAUCUAAUAUCUUCACUUUGCUUAAAUCACUCACUUCAACUAACUUGCCUUUUAUUACUUAAUCUUUGUGGUUCUAGAUUAAUUUUAAAUUUUUAAAAAUCCAAUUCACCCCCCCCCCCUCUUGGGUUGCAUAGCUGGGCAACACCCUCAAUUCAAGUGUAAACUCAUAGUUUGAUUCAUCAAAAUAUUUCAUUAAAUGGUAAUUAUUCAACAUUCAAUUUAAAUCUAAUUUAGAGAUUAAAAUCCUUACCUCAAAUGAUUAAAAUCCUUCUGAAA
This 333-nucleotide long non-coding RNA is filed under the name Elaeis guineensis (African oil palm). Its description in RNAcentral is "long non-coding RNA (EGUI_LNC053989)". Lineage: Eukaryota; Viridiplantae; Streptophyta; Magnoliopsida; Arecales; Arecaceae. The record is from RNAcentral.